GAGUUUGAUCCUGGCUCAGAUUGAACGCUGGCGGCAUGCCUUACACAUGCAAGUCGAACGGCAGCACGGGAGCAAUCCUGGUGGCGAGUGGCGAACGGGUGAGUAAUACGUCGGAACGUGCCCUGUAGUGGGGGAUAACUAGUCGAAAGACUAGCUAAUACCGCAUACGACCUGAGGGUGAAAGUGGGGGACCGCAAGGCCUCAUGCUAUAGGAGCGGCCGAUGUCUGAUUAGCUAGUUGGUGGGGUAAAGGCCUACCAAGGCGACGAUCAGUAGCUGGUCUGAGAGGACGAUCAGCCACACUGGGACUGAGACACGGCCCAGACUCCUACGGGAGGCAGCAGUGGGGAAUUUUGGACAAUGGGGGCAACCCUGAUCCAGCAAUGCCGCGUGUGUGAAGAAGGCCUUCGGGUUGUAAAGCACUUUUGUCCGGGAAGAAAUCGCACCUGAUAAUACCGGGUGUGGAUGACGGUACCGGAAGAAUAAGGACCGGCAACUACGUGCCAGCAGCCGCGGUAAUACGUAGGGUCCAAGCGUUAAUCGGAAUUACUGGGCGUAA
Molecule: ribosomal RNA, 558 nt
Filed under: Ralstonia sp. 2
Lineage: Bacteria; Pseudomonadati; Pseudomonadota; Betaproteobacteria; Burkholderiales; Burkholderiaceae
Description: bacterial SSU rRNA
Rfam family: Bacterial small subunit ribosomal RNA
Source: RNAcentral